AGAUACCCUGGUAGUCACGCCGUAACGAUGAGUGCUAAGUGUUGGAGGGUUUCCGCCCUUCAGUGCUGCAGCAAACGCAUUAAGCACUCCGCCUGGGGAGUACGACCGCAAGGUUGAAACUCAAAGGAAUUGACGGGGGCCCGCACAAGCGGUGGAGCAUGUGGUUUAAUUCGAAGCAACGCGAAGAACCUUACCAGGUCUUGACAUCCUUUGACCACUCUAGAGAUAGAGCUUUCCCUUCGGGGACAAAGUGACAGGU
RNAcentral lists this ribosomal RNA (259 nucleotides) under Enterococcus faecalis. Its description in RNAcentral is "partial 16S ribosomal RNA". It matches the Rfam family "Bacterial small subunit ribosomal RNA", at positions 780 to 1039 of the family's 1533-position model. Lineage: Bacteria; Bacillati; Bacillota; Bacilli; Lactobacillales; Enterococcaceae. The record is from RNAcentral.